Lemur catta (Ring-tailed lemur) is the source of this 459-nucleotide long non-coding RNA. RefSeq lists it as uncharacterized. The record is from RefSeq and is a predicted model, not a curated record. The transcript is spliced from 3 exons. NCBI's taxonomy places the organism in Eukaryota, Metazoa, Chordata, Mammalia, Primates, Lemuridae.
CAGAACCGGAUUCGCCAGAUUUCCUGGUCUCAGACGCGCUUUAACCCUCUCAGACCCGGGGCUGCAGGAGAGGGCGCCACGGGCCGCUUCCCCCGCGCGCCGCCAGGGGACGACGGAGUGCAAUGGACCCAGCGCAGCCUGGAACCGGGGCUCCACCUGAGCACGACGUCAUCAGGCGGUCAGGUCUGGCCCCCACCACUAUCUUCUUCCCACUCUUGUCGCCUGGACUUCCCUAAAACAAAAGCCAGUCCGUCGCGACACUGCCAACAUUGCGCACAGAAAAGCAGCUAAACACGGGACCUGCGUGAUCCUGCCCAGCCCAAUUCCAGGCCAUCUUCCGCGAACACCCGGGUGAAGGCAGGAGACAGCGCAGAAUUCAGGCUCCGCCCUCGUGCGGCCUCACCACCUGGCUCACGCAUCUGUUGUAAGGAGUAAAUGGAUUAAUGCAUAAAGAGUGCU